UACGUAGGUGGCAAGCGAUACUCGGAAUCACUGGGCGUAAAGCGCACGUAGGCGGAUUGUUAAGUCAGGGGUGAAAUCCUGGAGCUCAACUCCAGAACUGCCUUUGAUACUGGCGAUCUCGAGUCCGGGAGAGGUGAGUGGAACUGCGAGUGUAGAGGUGAAAUUCGUAGAUAUUCGCAAGAACACCAGUGGCGAAGGCGGCUCACUGGCCCGGUACUGACGCUGAGGUGCGAAAGCGUGGGGAGCAAACAGG
Molecule: ribosomal RNA, 253 nt
Filed under: uncultured bacterium
Lineage: Bacteria
Description: partial 16S ribosomal RNA
Rfam family: Bacterial small subunit ribosomal RNA
Source: RNAcentral